RNAcentral lists this ribosomal RNA (229 nucleotides) under uncultured bacterium. RNAcentral's name for it is "partial 16S ribosomal RNA". It matches the Rfam family "Bacterial small subunit ribosomal RNA", at positions 568 to 796 of the family's 1533-position model. The record is from RNAcentral.
UGCGUAGGCGGACUAAUAAGUCAGUGGUGAAAUCUCUCGGCUCAACCGGGAAACUGCCAUUGAUACUGUUAGUCUUGAGUUCGGUUGGGGUAGGCGGAAUGUGUAAUGUAGCGGUGAAAUGCUUAGAUAUUACACAGAACACCAAUUGCGUAGGCAGCUUACUAGACCGACACUGACGCUGAGGCACGAAAGCGUGGGUAGCGAACAGGAUUAGAUACCCUGGUAGUCC